CAGCCACAUCAGAUUGAAACACCUGUUUCCAUACAAUCACCAAAGUUAAGCAACAUUGAGCCUGAUCAGUACUUAGAUGGGUGACUACUUGGUCAUACAAAGUACUG
Molecule: non-coding RNA, 107 nt
Organism: Acanthosepion pharaonis
Lineage: Eukaryota; Metazoa; Mollusca; Cephalopoda; Sepiida; Sepiidae
Source: the annotation of a GenBank genome assembly